Molecule: ribosomal RNA, 559 nt
Filed under: Theileria annulata
Lineage: Eukaryota; Apicomplexa; Aconoidasida; Piroplasmida; Theileriidae
Description: SSU rRNA
Rfam family: Eukaryotic small subunit ribosomal RNA
Source: RNAcentral
GACACAGGGAGGUAGUGACAAGAAAUAACAAUACGGGGCUUAAAGUCUUGUAAUUGGAAUGAUGGGAAUUUAAACCUCUUCCAGAGUAUCAAUUGGAGGGCAAGUCUGGUGCCAGCAGCCGCGGUAAUUCCAGCUCCAAUAGCGUAUAUUAAAAUUGUUGCAGUUAAAAAGCUCGUAGUUGAAUUUUUGCUGCAUUGCUUGUGUCCCUCUGGGGUCUGUGCAUGUGGCUUUUUUCGGACGGAGUUUCUUUGUCUGAAUGUUUACUUUGAGAAAAUUAGAGUGCUCAAAGCAGGCUUUCGCCUUGAAUAGUUUAGCAUGGAAUAAUAAAGUAGGACUUUGGUUCUAUUUUGUUGGUUUUAGGUACCAAAGUAAUGGUUAAUAGGAACAGUUGGGGGCAUUCGUAUUUAACUGUCAGAGGUGAAAUUCUUAGAUUUGUUAAAGACGAACUACUGCGAAAGCAUUUGCCAAGGAUGUUUUCAUUAAUCAAGAACGAAAGUUAGGGGAUCGAAGACGAUCAGAUACCGUCGUAGUCCUAACCAUAAACUAUGCCGACUAGAGU